RNAcentral lists this long non-coding RNA (749 nucleotides) under Fukomys damarensis (Damara mole-rat). Its description in RNAcentral is "lncRNA (ENSFDAG00000021790.1)". The record is from RNAcentral. Lineage: Eukaryota; Metazoa; Chordata; Mammalia; Rodentia; Bathyergidae.
CUCCUCCUUCUGCAGUGGGGGCCGAAUGGCAGAUGCUACCCAAAUGUAUUCAUUAAUCAGAAGAGGCUUUCGCCCCCUGACGCCUCUGGGCCUCAGGCAGCCAGAAUCUCCGCCCGAGCUGCAGGGCAGGAGGCGCCUCCCUCCUAGCGCCCUUAGCAAAGAGACGGGGCGUCAGACAUAAACACUGCCCGGAGUCUGAGGAGAGAAGGGUUCCAUUGUGUUCUGAAUGCGGGUUUCCAGACAAGAUGCUCCUGGGGUCCCGCGCCUCCUCCAGAAGCUCCGUGAGCUCGGAGGAGCAAAGAGCAGCGCGCCACAGCCACAGCAGCCGGGGAACCUCGCCGCGCGGGUCUGCACCAGCCUCCGCCUCGCCUCCCAGCCCUCUGGUCCUGUUUGCCUUCCAGCCGAAGUCGGGCCCAAAUUAAUUCUCUGCACUUUGAGAAGCUCGCAGCAGCUGAGGAGAAGCCAGAGCAUCCGUGCUCAGCUAAAGCCACAGGGAAGAAACUGCAACCUGGAGGUAAGCAUCUUCCAAAAUAUGUACUACAACUGUAAAGCAGCUCGAGUGGACAGAAUUCCUGUCUUUAUAGAGUGAGGGGGGUUAAUAAUGAGUUUUAAUGCAAUGAAUCAGUUUAUUACUUAAUGGCAUUACAAUUUUUAAAAAUAAAUGGGUUUUUCCAUUUGCCUUUUACUAUGUUGGAAACAGAUGUUUCACUCAGCAGAAGCCCAACUUUGAUAUUGAAACUUUCCCGGCC